This 87-nucleotide transfer RNA is filed under the name Felis catus (domestic cat). It matches the Rfam family "tRNA". From Rfam's summary of the family: Transfer RNA (tRNA) molecules are approximately 80 nucleotides in length. Their secondary structure includes four short double-helical elements and three loops (D, anti-codon, and T loops). Further hydrogen bonds mediate the characteristic L-shaped molecular structure. tRNAs have two regions of fundamental functional importance: the anti-codon, which is responsible for specific mRNA codon recognition, and the 3' end, to which the tRNAs corresponding amino acid is attached (by aminoacyl-tRNA synthetases). tRNAs cope with the degeneracy of the genetic code in two manners: having more than one tRNA (with a specific anti-codon) for a particular amino acid; and 'wobble' base-pairing, i.e. permitting non-standard base-pairing at the 3rd anti-codon position. Lineage: Eukaryota; Metazoa; Chordata; Mammalia; Carnivora; Felidae. The record is from Rfam by way of RNAcentral.
GCCUGGGUGGCUCAGUUGGUUAAGCAUCUGACUUCAGCUCAGGUCGUGAUCUCACGGUUCUCAUGGGUUUGAGCCCCAUAUUGGGCU